This 752-nucleotide long non-coding RNA is filed under the name Ananas comosus (pineapple). RNAcentral describes it as "long non-coding RNA (ACOM_LNC030741)". The record is from RNAcentral. Lineage: Eukaryota; Viridiplantae; Streptophyta; Magnoliopsida; Poales; Bromeliaceae.
GAGUCCAUAUAGACUUUUCCUUCUUUUUUAGGAAAAACUUAUUACAAGUAUCAUUCCCUUGGUGCUAUUAGAUUUUUAUCCUUUGGAUCUACUCUUUAAUUGAUUACUAAUAGCCCUUGGAUCAAACACUAUUCCACCUCCCACCACCUACCACCAUCAUCUCAAACUCAAAAGCACCACUUUUAUGGUACUUUUGAAAGUAUUCUAGCUCUACUCAUAUAUAUAUAUAUAUAUAUAUAUAUAUAUAUAUAUAUAUAUAUAUAUAUAUAUNAUAUAUAAAAGUUAGGAGUUUAAUUUUAGAGAUAAUUGUCUAUACCACUCAAAAUUUUGAAAAUAUCUUAUUCAUCUCUAUUUUUUUUUUUCUAAUAUUCCCCUCAUAUAUUUCUCUGUUAUUUCAAUAUAUUCCUGCAGUUAUCACCUGUUAAGUUAACUUAAAUUAAAUAUGAGUUAAAUAUCUACUAGAGUUUAAAAAAAAUCAAAAUGCAUCUUUUGUCCUUAAACGAGAAAAAGCCUCAUAUCGGUCAUUAAAAUUACGAAUUUUAAAACCUUUUAAUUAUUAGGUCAAUGAUGUCGAAAAUAUUUGACGUUUGAUUUCUAAAUACUUCAUGUGGUAUAGAUUAUAUUUAACGAUGCCGAUCGUCGAUUUAAAGGCUUUAUUAUCGAAAACAAAUAGAUAGUAACGAAGUCUGUUUGCUGCCGAUAGCAUUCCAACUCAACUCUCUCUCUCUCACUAUUGAUAUUUACUUUAAUUA